This 1129-nucleotide unclassified non-coding RNA is filed under the name Bombus terrestris (buff-tailed bumblebee). Its description in RNAcentral is "misc RNA ENSBTSG00005020805.1". Lineage: Eukaryota; Metazoa; Arthropoda; Insecta; Hymenoptera; Apidae. The record is from RNAcentral.
AAUUUUAUCGUGGUAGCUUAAAUAUUUCUCCUCGUGAUAUCGAGUAACGGAGAAUCGCCUUCGAGGAAAAGCCGGAGGUGGCGGUGGUUGUACUCGAUGGCUCCUAUCGACGGAUUCGCUUCUGAGAGCUUGGACAGCCUUUGGCACGGCCCUGAACGGCUCCUGCGGAGCCUUGGUGAUCAUACCAGAGGCCAGAUUGCCAUUUCCGACGGUGUCGUUAAAAUUACUCGCGCCUCCGCCAACGCUUCCUCCGCCAUGGAAGCUGUUCCAUCUUCUGACAGGACCUCUAUUAGCAACAUGGUGUCCGCUUCCGGGGCCGCCGGGACCACGUAGUUGGCUCGUGUGCUUGUGCAUUCUCUCACUUUCUCUUUUUCCUUCUCUUUCUCAGCCCUCGGUGAUCCUCCACGACUCGGACGCCUCCUCCUUCGCCUCCAUCUUCUUCGUUUUCUUCUCUUUUUAUUAUUUUGUCACCCGUCCUCGACGAUCUGGACUACAUUCUUCAGAACUUCCCUUCGUUGCCAAUGUCCCUCUCUUCUCUCCCCUCUUUUUUUGGUCGAUCUUUCCUUUCUCUCGGCUUUUUAUUUAAAUUGGGAAGUCCUGUGACGUGUCUUUUUAUUCAAAUUGGAAAAUCCACUGAUAUAUGUUGCAAUCAGAGAAUUUUAGUGUUUUAUCGAGAUGGUUCCGUAGAGCGAGAGCUUUUUCCCAGUGACGAUUUGGUAGCUAGAAGUUUGUCUGUCGAAAGGAAUUCGAAUUUUCCAGUUAGAAUGUGUUUGUGUUGGAUUCCGUAAAUGUUCGUGAACCAGGCUUUCAUCGAUCAACGUUGGCCAGCUUUCAAGCAAGUUUCUCAGGAUUAACGUUGCUGUCUGCAGGAGUUCCGAAGAAUAUUGCAUCCUUAGGGGUUCUAAACUUCGCUUCGCGUGUAUAUUUGAUUCGAGUAGAGCAAGGAUGUUACAGAAUGUUAUAUAAGUAGUAAUAAGUAGCAUCUUUUUGAUAUAGCUCAAAUAUAAGCACCGUUAGACAUUAGACUUUGUAGAUAUUUUCUAUCGUUUUCUAAAUAACAAUAAACAUAGACCGUGUUUCAAAAUAUAAAGCAUGAAUCCGAGAAUUUUGUCAUAUUUCACGUUCUAAA